This 86-nucleotide non-coding RNA is filed under the name Tetraselmis sp. GSL018. Lineage: Eukaryota; Viridiplantae; Chlorophyta; Chlorodendrophyceae; Chlorodendrales; Chlorodendraceae. The record is from RNAcentral.
GAAAUUUAGGGAAGACAGAUGUGUUGUGUGUUAUCAUCUUAUCAUUUUCUUUCUUCCCUUCCUAUUUUUUUUUUGCGAAUGUGUGU